Molecule: transfer RNA, 70 nt
Filed under: Eiconaxius baja
Lineage: Eukaryota; Metazoa; Arthropoda; Malacostraca; Decapoda; Axiidae
Description: tRNA-Ile
Source: RNAcentral
UUCAUAGUGCCUGAUAAAAAGGAUAUCUUUGAUAUAGAUAUAUAUGUAUAAAUUUUUUAUAUACCUAUGU